AAAAUUUUCGAAAAAAAAAAAAAUCUAACCCCGUUGAUAAUGCAAGACCCUUCCGCGACGACUUUCGGCCUCCCUGAUUCACUUGUAGGCGGAGGAGCAUCAAAGUCGGAGGGAAGACCAGCGAAGAAAUCAUCGAAGUCCAGAAUAGGAACCUCGCUAGUACCGCUUCCGUCGCUGUAAGUAAGGUUUGGAUCCCAUCCCGGAAGCAUAGAAUCAUCCGUCGAAAACUCUAUGUCACCAAGAUCGAUAUCCUUCCCCUUCGAAGAGUUCCACCCCGUCGCAGCAGUGGGGGCAUCAUCAGGACUCUGAUCAUCGGGCUCGGAGUCGUUCCCUGUUUCCGCAGGACCGGGACACACAAACCUCAACGCCUUCCGAACUCGCUUCGGCGUAAAGGAAGUCCAGAAAAACAUACCAUCCUAAGAAGAUCCCUCACUUCAAUGAUAUCCUCGGGGAACGGAGCAAGCGGGUUGAUGAAGGGACGGUCAUUCGGCAACCUCCGGAACAGUGGGAUACAACUCUCUUCGACAGACGCAGCAUCUAUAUGAACAAAGAACAUAUAGGGAACUCAGUUCAUGUUUUCCGCCAAGCUCCGAAACAGUGGGCUAUGUAGCGACCGAGCUCUUCCGAAACGUCGAUACGACACUUGUCCAUGCAUUCACGUCUAUCCUUUGAUGCUAUCUCCCGAAGAUUGUAGGGAACUCAGUUCAUGUUUUCCGCCAAUCUAAAUCGUCGAUCAAACUUUGCGGUUAAAACCGCGGAAAGUUCGUUCUUUAUCGAAAGAAGUCUCAGUAAACGCUUCAAAUCGGAAGACGGCCCAAAGGGAACUAAGACACGACUCGAGGCCCAUCCUACGAUUUCUUAACCAAAAGCCCGUAAACCGUAGCACGGUUUACGCUUGGCACGCAAGGAAGGAUAAAUGUCAAGUUUCCGCGGAUAAAUACGAAAUUUUGAGGAUAAAUACGAAGAUCGGAAAAAAUGGAAUAUCUCCAUUUUAUGCUAUGACGGCUUAAGGGCAGAAGAGUAAAAGCGUAAACCAACCUUGGAGCGAGUAUAUAAGGAGUCCUAGGCGAGAGGCAUAAAAGGGAGAACUUUUCAGAGCAAACUUAGCACAUAGAGCAAUUUAGGCAUAUUUCCGUUUUUGUUAUUCGAGCUGCGACUCAAUUAGGUUAUUGCCGUCUUAGGGUUUUAGAACUUGGAAUCUCGCCAACAGCUCUCGUAGCCCAAGCACUUACCUUGUUGUAACGCUCAAACGCGAAUUCGGAAUAAGAUCUACUUUGCUCUCUUUUCGAUUUCAUAUAAUUUAUCGUCGUUAUUCUCAUGUUCUGAUUGCUUGACGUGUGGUAUUAGCAGAUAUCCUGGACCUCUGGGAAAUUAGGGUUUUCCUAGUUACAUAAUUUUAACGGAAAUCGAAAGUGCGAAUUUCAGUUCCCACACUCAUAACCGCAUCAGGUCUCCAAGGUGAACAGCCUCUGGUCGAUGUAACAAUGUAGGCAAGGGAAGUCGGCAAAAUGGAUCCGUAACUUCGGGAAAAGGAUUGGCUCUGAGGGCUGGGCUCGGGGGUCCCAGUUCCUAACCCGUCGAUUGUUGCGGGCUGCUUGAGCUGCUAACGUGGCGAGAGCGGACUGCCUCGUGUCGGCCAAGGGACGGACUGGGAACGACUCUUUCGGGAUCUUUCCUCGGGCGUCGAACAGCCAACUCAGAACUGGUACGGACAAGGGGAAUCCGACUGUUUAACUAAAACAAAGCAUUGCGAUGGUCCCUGCGGAUGCUAACACAAUGUGAUUUCUGCCGAGUGCUCUGAAUGUCAAUGUGAAGAAAUUCAACCAAGCGCGGGUAAACGGCGGGAGUAACUAUGACUCUCUUAAGGUAGCCAAAUGCCUCUUCAUCUAAUUAGUGACGCGCAUGAAUGGAUUAACGAGAUUCCCACUGUCCCUGUCUACUAUCCAGCGAAACCACAGCCAAGGGAACGGGCUUGGCAGAAUCAGCGGGGAAAGAACACCUUGUUGAGCUUGACUCUAGUCCGACUUUGUGAAAUGACUUGAGAGGUGUAGAAUAAGUGGGAGCUCCGGCCCAAGUGAAAUACAACUACUUUAAACGUUAUUUUACUUACUCCGUGAAUCGGAGGCGGGGUAAAAGCUCAACGAGAACAUAAAUCUCGUGUGGAACAAAAGGGUAAAAGCUCGUUUGAUUCUGAUAUUCAGUACGAAUACGAACCGUGAAAGCGUGGCCUAUCGAUCCUUUAGACCUUUGGAAUGUGCCAGCCAAGCGUUCAUAGCGACGUUGCUUUUUGAUCUUUCGAUGUCGGCUCUUCGUAUCAUUGUGAAGCAGAAUUCACCAAGUGUUGGAUUGUUCACCCACCAAUAGGGAACGUGAGCUGGGUUUAGACCAUCGUGAGACAUGUUAGUUUUACCCUACUGAUGCCCGCGUCGCAAUAGUUAUUCAACCUAGUACGAGAGGAACCGUUGAUUCGCACAAUUGGUCAUCGCGUUUGGUUGAAAAGCCAGUGGCACGAAGCUACCAUGCGCUGGAUUAUGACUGAACGCCUCUAAAUCAGAAUCUGGGCUAGAAGCGACGCAUGCGCCCGCCGCCCGAUUGCCAACCCUCAAUAGGAGCUUCGGCUCCCAAAGGCACAUGUCGUUGGCUAAGUCCGUUUGGCAGAAGCGCCGUUCGGACCGCCUUGAAUUAUAAUUACCACCGAGCGGCAGGUAGAAUCCUUUGCAGAUGACUUAAAUACGCGACGGGGUAUUGUAAGUGGCAGAGUGGCCUUGCUGCCACGAUCCACUGAGAUUCUGCCCUUUGUCACUAAGAUUUGACCCUCCCCC
RNAcentral lists this ribosomal RNA (2822 nucleotides) under Brassica rapa (field mustard). Its description in RNAcentral is "eukaryotic LSU rRNA". The stretch from base 944 to 2813 matches the Rfam family "Eukaryotic large subunit ribosomal RNA". The record is from RNAcentral. Lineage: Eukaryota; Viridiplantae; Streptophyta; Magnoliopsida; Brassicales; Brassicaceae.